RNAcentral lists this ribosomal RNA (434 nucleotides) under uncultured bacterium. RNAcentral's name for it is "partial 16S ribosomal RNA". It matches the Rfam family "Bacterial small subunit ribosomal RNA", at positions 29 to 507 of the family's 1533-position model. The record is from RNAcentral.
AGCGAACGCUGGCGGCAGGCCUAACACAUGCAAGUCGAACGAACCUUUCGGGGUUAGUGGCGGACGGGUGAGUAACACGUGGGAACGUGCCUUUAGGUUCGGAAUAACUCAGGGAAACUUGUGCUAAUACCGAAUGUGCCCUUCGGGGGAAAGAUUUAUCGCCGUUAGAGCGGCCCGCGUCUGAUUAGCUAGUUGGUUGAGGUAAUGGCCCACCAAGGCGACGAUCAGUAGCUGGUCUGAGAGGAUGAUCAGCCACAUUGGGACUGAGACACGGCCCAAACUCCUACGGGAGGCAGCAGUGGGGAAUCUUGCGCAAUGGGCGAAAGCCUGACGCAUCCAUGCCGCGUGAAUGAUGAAGGUCUUAGGAUUGUAAAAUUCUUUCACCGGGGACGAUAAUGACGGUACCCGGAGAAGAAGCCCCGGCUAACUUCGUG